RNAcentral lists this ribosomal RNA (421 nucleotides) under uncultured bacterium. RNAcentral's name for it is "partial 16S ribosomal RNA". It matches the Rfam family "Bacterial small subunit ribosomal RNA", at positions 359 to 773 of the family's 1533-position model. The record is from RNAcentral.
CAUUUUGGACAAUGGGGGCAACCCUGAUCCAGCCAUCCCGCGUGUGCGAUGAAGGCCUUCGGGUCGACAAGCACUUUUGGCAGGGAGGAAAAGGUGCUGGAGAAUACCUGUCGGCGCUGUCGGUACCUGCAGAAUAAGCACCGUCUAACUGCGUGCCGGCAGCCGCGGUAAUACGUAGGGUGCAAGCGUUAAUCGGAAUUACUGGGCGUAAAGCGUGCGCAGGCGGUUCGGAAAGAAAGAUGUGAAAUCCCAGGGCUUAACCUUGGAACUGCAUUUUUAACUGCCGGGCUAGAGUAUGUCAGAGGGGGGUAGAAUUCCACGUGUAGCAGUGAAAUGCGUAGAGAUGUGGAGGAAUACCGAUGGCGAAGGCAGCCCCCUGGGAUAAUACUGACGAUCAUGCACGAAAGCGUGGGGAGCAAAC